GAGGCAGAGGCAGAGGAGGACGAGGAGUAUUGGUCCUACCAUGACGUGGGUGAAGCCCUAGACUGGCUUGACACUGCGGAGGGCCCGGAUGGCUCGACACGUCUUUCCUCAACAUUCUCGGCUGCCGGAAGUGCGGCUGCGGCGCGGAGGCCGAACGCACAUGGCGGCAUGCUCGCGCGCACACUCCAGCCACUCUCCAACCGCACACAGAAGCUCGCCUCACACGUCCGUGCCGCUCCGUUGGAGGAGUGGGAAGGUAGAAUGAACGUGGGGAUGUCAAAUUCCGUGACAACUGCAAUCAGGGACAGCAUAAGAGAUACUGCAAUUGGGAAAACAAGGAACACUGGGAAGGCAGAUCGUGCUACAGUUGAACAGGCUAUUGACCCAAGAACCCGCAUGGUUUUGUUCAAAAUGCUAAACCGUGGUGUUUUUAAUAACAUAAAUGGUUGCAUUUCAACCGGAAAAGAGGUAACCUUCAAUUUGCAGUGCACAUCGUAG
RNAcentral lists this ribosomal RNA (498 nucleotides) under Triticum aestivum (bread wheat). RNAcentral describes it as "partial small subunit ribosomal RNA". The record is from RNAcentral. Lineage: Eukaryota; Viridiplantae; Streptophyta; Magnoliopsida; Poales; Poaceae.